RNAcentral lists this ribosomal RNA (301 nucleotides) under uncultured bacterium. RNAcentral's name for it is "partial 16S ribosomal RNA". It matches the Rfam family "Bacterial small subunit ribosomal RNA", at positions 509 to 807 of the family's 1533-position model. The record is from RNAcentral.
CAGUAGCCACGGGAAUACGUAGGUGGCAAGCGUUGUCCGGAAUUAUUGGGCGUAAAGCGCGCGCAGGUGGUUUAAUAAGUCUGAUGUGAAAGCCCACGGCUCAACCGUGGAGGGUCAUUGGAAACUGUUAAACUUGAGUGCAGGAGAGAAAAGUGGAAUUCCUAGUGUAGCGGUGAAAUGCGUAGAGAUUAGGAGGAACACCAGUGGCGAAGGCGGCUUUUUGGCCUGUAACUGACACUGAGGCGCGAAAGCGUGGGGAGCAAACAGGAUUAGAUACCCCCGUAGUCCCUGUCUCUUAUAC